Molecule: ribosomal RNA, 571 nt
Filed under: Labidiosticta vallisi
Lineage: Eukaryota; Metazoa; Arthropoda; Insecta; Odonata; Isostictidae
Description: SSU rRNA
Rfam family: Eukaryotic small subunit ribosomal RNA
Source: RNAcentral
AAGUUGUUGCGGUUAAAAAGCUCGUAGUCGGAGGUGUGUCUCGGACGGUCGGUUCGCCGCUUGUCGGUGCUCAACUGGCCGGUCCGGACGUCCUGCCGGUGGGGCCGCAAGGUCCCGUGAUCCUUCUUUGGUCCUCUUCACCGAGUGCCUUGGUGGGCCGGCACGUUUACUUUGAACAAAUUAGAGUGCUCAAAGCAGGCCGUUGGUCGCCUGAAUACUGUGUGCAUGGAAUAAUGGAAUAGGACCUCGGUUCCAUUUUGUUGGUUUUCAGAACUCGAGGUAAUGAUUAAUAGGGACGGACGGGGGCAUUCGUAUUGCGACGUUAGAGGUGAAAUUCUUGGAUCGUCGCAAGACGAACCGAUGCGAAAGCAUUUGCCAAGAACGUUUUCGUUGAUCAAGAACGAAAGUUAGAGGUUCGAAGGCGAUCAGAUACCGCCCUAGUUCUAACCAUAAACGAUGCCAGCUAGCCAUCCGCCGAAGUUCCUUCUAUGACUCGGCGGGCAGCUUCCGGGAAACCAAAGCUCUUGGGUUCCGGGGGAAGUAUGGUUGCAAAGCUCAAACUUAAAGGAAU